RNAcentral lists this transfer RNA (70 nucleotides) under Sphaerodactylus townsendi. Its description in RNAcentral is "tRNA-Ala". Lineage: Eukaryota; Metazoa; Chordata; Lepidosauria; Squamata; Sphaerodactylidae. The record is from RNAcentral.
GGCCAUGGUUCAGUGGGAGAGCAUCUGCUUGGCAUGGGGAAAGCGCCAGGUUCAAUCCCUGGCAUCUCCA